UAAGCCCUGCUCAGAAGUCAAGAGCGGCAGCGCCGCCGCUUUGGCGCGGCCUUUCAUGACGCGGUCGCUCGGUAUUCUUGUGCCUCGGCCUCUCUGGUCGCCCCCGGACAAAGCCACCGGAGCCCGGCCGCUCCCUUCCCGCUAAAUCCUCUUCGGGGUCAAUGCGCUACCAGCACCAGGCCGCGCGCUUCUCCUGCCAGCCAUGUGGCUCUUAAAGAACCGUACCACUCCCCCACCCUCCGUCCUGCGCGCUCCCCCGACCCCCGCCUCCCCGCCUUUCUCCUCUGGAUCUAGCCCCCCACGCCGACGCCUUAGGUCCCUGCUGCCCCGAC
RNAcentral lists this long non-coding RNA (332 nucleotides) under Neogale vison (American mink). RNAcentral describes it as "Neovison vison (American mink) Six3os1 conserved region 4 (ENSNVIG00000017037.1)". It matches the Rfam family "Six3os1 conserved region 4". Lineage: Eukaryota; Metazoa; Chordata; Mammalia; Carnivora; Mustelidae. The record is from RNAcentral.